This 229-nucleotide unclassified non-coding RNA is filed under the name fungal sp. RNAcentral describes it as "partial internal transcribed spacer region". The stretch from base 1 to 46 matches the Rfam family "Eukaryotic small subunit ribosomal RNA", at positions 1786 to 1831 of the family's 1831-position model. The record is from RNAcentral. Lineage: Eukaryota; Fungi.
AAGUCGUAACAAGGUUUCCGUAGGUGAACCUGCGGAAGGAUCAUUACCAAUAAUAAAUUAUCAAACCCUUGUGCACUGUUGUGAAUGUCUCGGUUUUUGGGGUGGACUGUUUAUGGUUCACCCCAGCCAUUUUGUUAAACAACUUUAUAUAUUUUGUCAUGGCAUCAUCACUUGUCUUAAUAAAUAUUAUGACAACUUUUAACGGUGGAUCUCUUGGCUCGUGGAUCGA